Molecule: ribosomal RNA, 402 nt
Filed under: uncultured bacterium
Lineage: Bacteria
Description: bacterial SSU rRNA
Rfam family: Bacterial small subunit ribosomal RNA
Source: RNAcentral
AUUGAACGCUGGCGGCAUGCCUUACACAUGCAAGUCGAACGGCAGCACGGGAGCAAUCCUGGUGGCGAGUGGCGAACGGGUGAGUAAUAUAUCGGAACGUGCCCAGUCGUGGGGAUAACGUAGCGAAAGCUACGCUAAUACCGCAUACGAUCUACGGAUGAAAGCGGGGGAUCGCAAGACCUCGCGCGAUUGGAGCGGCCGAUAUCAGAUUAGGUAGUUGGUGAGGUAAAGGCUCACCAAGCCGACGAUCUGUAGCUGGUCUGAGAGGACGACCAGCCACACUGGGACUGAGACACGGCCCAGACUCCUACGGGAGGCAGCAGUGGGGAAUUUUGGACAAUGGGCGCAAGCCUGAUCCAGCAAUGCCGCGUGCAGGAUGAAGGCCUUCGGUGUAACUGCUUU